UGCCACAAUAGCUGUUUUGAAGAAAGG
This 27-nucleotide non-coding RNA is filed under the name Mus musculus (house mouse). Lineage: Eukaryota; Metazoa; Chordata; Mammalia; Rodentia; Muridae. The record is from RNAcentral.